GGUCCUAGUGGCGAACGGGUGAGUAACACGUGAGGAACCUGCCCCGGAGUCCGGAAUAGCCCAGGGAAACCUGGAUUAAUGCCGGAUACCCUUCACCGGUCGCAUGUCUGGUGAAGGAAAGGUCCGCCGCUCCGGGAUGGCCUCGCGGCCUAUCAGCUUGUUGGUGAGGUAACGGCUCACCAAGGCUACGACGGGUAGCUGGUCUGAGAGGACGAUCAGCCACACUGGGACUGAGACACGGCCCAGACUCCUACGGGAGGCAGCAGCAGGGAAUAUUGCACAAUGGGCGAAAGCCUGAUGCAGCGACGCCGCGUGAGGGAUGAAGGCCUCCGGGUCGUAAACCUCUUUCAGGAGGGACGAAGCGAAAGUGACGGUACCUCCAGAAGAAGCCCCGGCCAACUACGUGCCAGCAGCCGCGGUAAUACGUAGGGGGCAAGCGUUGUCCGGAUUCAUUGGGCGUAAAGAGCUCGUAGGCGGCUCGGUAAGUCGGCCGUGAAAUCCCGGAGCUCAACUCCGGGAGGCCGGUCGAUACUGCCGUGGCUAGGGACCGGUAGAGGAGAGUGGAAUUCCCGGUGUAGCGGUGAAAUGCGCAGAUAUCGGGAGGAACACCAGUAGCGAAGGCGGCUCUCUGGGCCGGCACCGACGCUGAGGAGCGAAAGCUAGGGGAGCAAACAGGAUUAGAUACCCUGGUAGUCCUAGCCGUAAACGUUGGGCACUAGGUGUGGCGGAUUGAUUGAUGUCUGCUGUGCCGUAGCAAACGCAUUAAGUGCCCCGCCUGGGGAGUACGGUCGCAAGGCUAG
Molecule: ribosomal RNA, 800 nt
Filed under: uncultured bacterium
Lineage: Bacteria
Description: bacterial SSU rRNA
Rfam family: Bacterial small subunit ribosomal RNA
Source: RNAcentral